Caenorhabditis elegans is the source of this 271-nucleotide non-coding RNA. The record is from Ensembl. Lineage: Eukaryota; Metazoa; Nematoda; Chromadorea; Rhabditida; Rhabditidae.
GUGGGAUAAGAAAGUUAGGAUGUGACGGGUUUCAUGCUCAUCUCGAGCUGCCAAUCUUGCACAUUAAGCAAUUGGCUCAUUGGCAUGCUCUUGUCCUCUGGGCCUGCCGCGGAGCCAUCUCCCGUUUGAUAUCUGCUCCCGGGGGACGUUCCCAACUUGGCCGGAGAGAGGCGCCGCGAGCAGCACAAGCUCAACCAAAACUUUUCUAAUGUAAUGGGCCGGAAUUAGGGGAAGAACAAACGAAGGAGAGGGUGGGGUGGAUGAGGAAGAG